UACAAAUGAUGAUAAAAUCAAGGCUUGUUUCUCAAAACAUUCAUAGUUGCGAACUUAGAGCUUUCGCUCAGCCAGGUGAGCGAGUGCUGUUAGAUCCUUCCUUGAAUGUCUCAUGCA
Molecule: non-coding RNA, 117 nt
Organism: Hordeum vulgare subsp. vulgare (domesticated barley)
Lineage: Eukaryota; Viridiplantae; Streptophyta; Magnoliopsida; Poales; Poaceae
Source: Rfam